Molecule: long non-coding RNA, 440 nt
Filed under: Mytilus galloprovincialis (Mediterranean mussel)
Lineage: Eukaryota; Metazoa; Mollusca; Bivalvia; Mytilida; Mytilidae
Source: RNAcentral
AUAUUCUGUGUUACCUAAAGUAACGGGUUUUUGUUGGCUACUAUAUUAAACUAUGUCAUCGAGUGAUGUUAGGUACAUAGUAUUACCUGAUGGUUUCUGGAAUGAUGUAUUUGCAGGUCAGAUGCAGUUAAAGGGUACAUGUUGGAGGUAGACCUGGAAUAUCCUCAUGACUUACACGACUCACAUAACUCCUAUCCACUAUCACCUUCAAGCUAUAGCAAAAUCUGUAUCGAGAUCUAUAUGGUGAACACAGAAAACGACCAACCACCACCAAAUUGAUACCAACAUUAGAAAAUAAGAAAAAUUAUAUCACACAUUACCGUAAUUUACAACUGUAUACAAACUUGGGAAUGAAAAUUACUUAAGUCCAUAGAAUAUAGGAAUUUCACCAGUCUCUUUGGCUGGCUACUUAUAUUCAAUUCAACACAAGCAGAAGGCAG